RNAcentral lists this transfer RNA (53 nucleotides) under Boiga trigonata. RNAcentral describes it as "tRNA-Ser". The record is from RNAcentral. Lineage: Eukaryota; Metazoa; Chordata; Lepidosauria; Squamata; Colubridae.
GAGGGUGUCGCAGGACCUGCUAAGUCCACAACCUGGGAUAACCACCAGCCCCC